GAUGAAGAACGCAGCGAAAUGCGAUAAGUAAUGUGAAUUGCAGAAUUCAGAGAAUCAUCGAAUCUUUGAACGCACAUUGCGCCCGCUAGUAUUCUGGCGGGCAUGCCUGUCCGAGCGUCAUUUCAACCCUCAAGCCCCCGGGCUUGGUGUUGGGGAUCGGCGAGCCUCCGCGCCCGCCGUCCCCUAAAUCUAGUGGCGGUCUCGCUGUAGCUUCCUCUGCGUAGUAGCACACCUCGCACUGGGAAACAGCGCGGCCACGCCGUUAAACCCCCAACUUCUGAACGUUUGACCUCGGAUCAGGUAGGAAUACCCGCUGAACUUAAGCAUAUCAAUAAGCGGAGGA
RNAcentral lists this unclassified non-coding RNA (343 nucleotides) under soil metagenome. Its description in RNAcentral is "partial contains 5.8S ribosomal RNA, internal transcribed spacer 2, and large subunit ribosomal RNA". The stretch from base 1 to 120 matches the Rfam family "5.8S ribosomal RNA", at positions 35 to 154 of the family's 154-position model. The record is from RNAcentral.